AGAGUUUGAUCCUGGCUCAGGAUAAACGCUGGCGGCGUGCUUAACACAUGCAAGUCGAACGAAGUUUUUCUUUCGGGAGGAACUUAGUGGCGGACGGGUGAGUAACGCGUGGGUAACCUGCCCUGUACAGGGGGACAACAGCUGGAAACGGCUGCUAAUACCGCAUAAGCCCUUAGCACUGCAUGGUGUAUAGGGAAAAGGAGCAAUCCGGUACAGGAUGGACCCGCGUUUGAUUAGCCAGUUGGCAGGGUAACGGCCUACCAAAGCGACGAUCAGUAGCCGAUCUGAGAGGAUGUACGGCCACAUUGGGACUGAGACACGGCCCAGACUCCUACGGGAGGCAGCAGUGGGGAAUAUUGCACAAUGGAGGAAACUCUGACGCAGCGACGCCGCGUGAGUGAAGAAGUAUUUCGGUAUGUAAAGCUCUAUCAGCAGGGAAGAAAAUGACGGUACCUGACUAAGAAGCACCGGCUAAAUACGUGCCAGCAGCCGCGGUAAUACGUAUGGUGCAAGCGUUAUCCGGAUUUACUGGGUGUAAAGGGAGCGUAGGUGGCAAGGCAAGCCAGAAGUGAAAACCCGGGGCUCAACCGCGGGAUUGCUUUUGGAACUGUCAUGCUAGAGUGCAGGAGGGGUGAGCGGAAUUCCUAGUGUAGCGGUGAAAUGCGUAGAUAUUAGGAGGAACACCGGAGGCGAAGGCGGCUCACUGGACUGUAACUGACACUGAGGCUCGAAAGCGUGGGGAGCAAACAGGAUUAGAUACCCUGGUAGUCCACGCGGUAAACGAUGAAUACUAGAUGUCGGGUAGCAAAGCUAUUCGGUGUCGUCGCAAAAGCGUUAAGUAUUCCACCUGGGGAGUACGCCGGCAGCGGUGAAACUCAAAGGAAUUGACGGGGGCCCGCACAAGCGGAGGAACAUGUGGUUUAAUUCGAUGAUACGCGAGGAACCUUACCCGGGCUUAAAUUGCAGAUGAAUUACGGUGAAAGCCGUAAGCCGCAAGGCAUCUGUGAAGGUGCUGCAUGGUUGUCGUCAGCUCGUGCCGUGAGGUGUCGGCUUAAGUGCCAUAACGAGCGCAACCCUUGUUGUCAGUUACUAACAGGUUUCGCUGAGGACUCUGACAAGACUGCCAUCGUAAGAUGUGAGGAAGGUGGGGAUGACGUCAAAUCAGCACGGCCCUUACGUCCGGGGCUACACACGUGUUACAAUGGGGGGUACAGAGGGCCGCUACCACGCGAGUGGAUGCCAAUCCCCAAAGCCUCUCUCAGUUCGGACUGGAGUCUGCAACCCGACUCCACGAAGCUGGAUUCGCUAGUAAUCGCGCAUCAGCCACGGCGCGGUGAAUACGUUCCCGGGCCUUGUACACACCGCCCGUCAAGCCAUGGGAGCCGGGGGUACCUGAAGUGCGUAACCGCGAGGAGCGCCCUAGGGUAAAACUGGUGACUGGGGCUAAGUCGUAACAAGGUA
RNAcentral lists this ribosomal RNA (1461 nucleotides) under metagenome. RNAcentral describes it as "bacterial SSU rRNA". It matches the Rfam family "Bacterial small subunit ribosomal RNA". The record is from RNAcentral.